UCCGCCCACCCCUGUUCCCAUUGCUGGGGCUGGCAGGCUCCCUGAGGUCAGCUUCCUCCCCUUGCCAUGUUCUUUCAAGGGUGAGGACAGUGAAUGCUUCCUCCCUCUCAGAGGGAGACCAUCUCAGUCCUGGCUGGGCCACAGCUGUCCUGUGUGGCCCUUGUCCUGAGAAACAGGCAUGACAAGAGGUGGUGCCUGUUUCACAGAUGAGGAAAACAGAGGCCCAGAGAAGCAAAGAAGCUUGCCCAGGGCCCCUCAGGAGGCGGAGGCAGAGGCCAAGCUGAGAGUCUCUGACUCCGUCUGGUGCCCUGCCGCACAGCUGCCCAACGGCUGCCUGGUCCUGGGCGCCCUGCCGGAGAUGCCGUCCCCAGGCACUCCCACGCAGGGCCCUGCGGCCACGGACACCCUGCAGAGGGAACAAGCCGAGCUGUCCUGCAGCCCUAGCC
This 446-nucleotide long non-coding RNA is filed under the name Equus asinus (donkey). Its description in RNAcentral is "lncRNA (ENSEASG00005026629.1)". Lineage: Eukaryota; Metazoa; Chordata; Mammalia; Perissodactyla; Equidae. The record is from RNAcentral.